RNAcentral lists this unclassified non-coding RNA (332 nucleotides) under soil metagenome. RNAcentral describes it as "partial contains 5.8S ribosomal RNA, internal transcribed spacer 2, and large subunit ribosomal RNA". The stretch from base 1 to 120 matches the Rfam family "5.8S ribosomal RNA", at positions 35 to 154 of the family's 154-position model. The record is from RNAcentral.
GAUGAAGAACGUAGCGAAAUGCGAUAAGUAGUGUGAAUUGCAGAAUUCAGUGAAUCAUCGAAUCUUUGAACGCACAUUGCGCCCUUUGGUUUUCCUUAGGGCAUGCCUGUUCGAGCGUCAUUUAAACCUUCAAGCUCAGCUUGGUGUUGGGUGACUGUCCGCUUCACCGCGGACUCGCCUCAAAAUUAUUGGCGGCCGGUACAUUGGCUUCGAGCGCAGCAGAAACGCGAACUCGGGCCCGUCGUAUUGGCUCCCAGAAGCUAUCUUCACAAUUUUGACCUCGGAUCAGGUAGGGAUACCCGCUGAACUUAAGCAUAUCAAUAAGCGGAGGA